CUUAAAAUUUUACGGUCCAUUCGAUGUUUAUCUAACGGUAAAGAUUGUAACUUCCCUUCGCUCUGCUCUUUCUUCUGCCGCGUACUCCUCUCCUUGUCUGCGUUCGCUUCUUCCUCCCAGCUGCCUGCGCCAUCCCCUUCCUGCUCCCUCACUCCUCCACCACUCCUCUCCCUCUCUUCUCCUCGCGCGGAGCUGCAACGGCGAGGCCGAACAGUGGCCCCGGCGGGUCAGGCGUCGGCUGCUUGCCUCAGCUUGGCUCCGGCGGAGCGCGCGACCGUCGUCCUCUCCCUCCCACCCAUGGCGGCGCGCAGCCAUCCUCCCUCCCUCCCCGGCGCGCUGCCUGCCUGCGUGAGCUCGGCUCCAUCCAUCCUCACCGCGCGCUCCCCGGCCAUGGCAGCGAGGCCGGCCCUCCCCUCCCCUCCCCGCGCCAUCCCUCUCCCUGUUGGCCGUCCACGAGCCGUCCACGACAGAACGGCGCACGGCGAGGCUGGCGCCCAAACGCGGCAGUGGCCCGUGCGGGGCCAUGGCGGCGGGAGACCUGUGCGGGGCCAUGGCGGCGGCCGCCGUGCUCCGCACCGGAACCCUGCAGCGAGCCAACGCCGAGCUCCGCCUCCACGCGCAGUCAACGAGACCAACAGCAGCGAAUACCUCCGCUUUGGGAGUUCGGCAGCCGGAUCCGCCCUAAACCUCGGCGGAUCUACGCCUUCCUUGGCCGGAUCUGCUUCAGCGCACUACCCUUUCCUGCAACUGCCGCCGUCACGCACGCCGGCUAAUGGCUGUGGCCGCGGUCGCUGUCAAGCGCGUCGGCUGCGUCCUCCGGCCACCGCCCUCACCCGCACCGGUUGCGGCCUCCGGCGGCCACCGUGUCCCGCGGCCGGAGCCUCCCAACAGCGGCCCCGCGGCUGCUGCCUCACAAGAUCCGCUCCAUCCCUCGCGUUUCCGCCCGCUAUCGCGCGCGCUGGUCUAAUUCCUGGCUUCCUCCUCAGUGCCUUGUUCGACGUUGUGGUCUUCUUCCUCAGCGGCCUGUCUGCUGUCCGCCAUUGCUGUCCGCCCAGAACUCCUGAAUCUCAGGUGCGCCCCUCCGUUUUUUACUGGUCAUCGCUUCCUGGUCGCCCCCUUUCAUUUUGUUCCAAGAAGCAGCCUAGAGACAGUAAACGAGGAGUCCACUUUACUGCAGCAGACGAGAACAAAGGUUGAAACUAAUGGUCAGGUUGUACCUGGGCCUGAAUAUGAAAGUCCUAACCUGAAUGGCUCCAUUGGAACCUCCUCUCCUCAGGAGCACCUGACAGGUCAUUGUAAUCUCACCUCUUUGAUUUACCAAAAAAAAAUGUUGUCAUGCACAAAGAUCUGAAUGCAGUAAAAAGGUUAACUAAUAUUCAGUAGUACUGGUAUUCUGCUUCUACCACCAGCACAGCAUUGCUCAAACGAACUACCUUUCCUGCAUUUUAGGUACCACUAAUACGACAUAGACUGUGCCUUCAGCUAACUACGCUGACCAUUUGCUCCUCUCAGUAUUAGGUUCCUAAGCCAGAAUUCAAUUUAUGCUUCACUUACUCACUAUACUUAAGAAAUAGAAUGCUAUUACAAUCACCGAUGUUGUAUCUUCUUCUAACUAGACCACCUUUUUCUUGUGCACCAUAAAGGCCACCAAAGCAGAUUUGGGAGGUAGUACUCCCAUGCUGUUCAAGACAUUUACAGGUACUAUGAGCUACUUUCUUCAAACUUUAUUAAUCAUAUGAGUUCUUGGGCCAGAUGUAGUUGAUCCAGGCAUGCAGUUGUUAUUCAUUUUAUACUUGAAAAAUAAAAUGAACUAUCAAAGGUUAUAAGACACAGAUAUUCUUUCCCAUAUAUGCGCAUGAUUAUUAUUCAGUUUAGGAAAUGCUCUGGGUAAUACGACACAUAUAUUCUUUCCCAUAUAUGUGCAUGAUUACUAUUAAGUUUAGGAAGCGCUCUGUUGGUCCAGAAUUUCUGUUGAUAUGAACAAAUAUUCCUUUUCAUAUAUGUGAAUGACUAUUGCCUAUUGCACAAACACAAGUAUUGGUUGUAUUAAUGGUUCCCAGCAUGUUUAAACAUUUAUAGUGCUAAGACACUGCAUUAGGCCUCCAAGUAUAUUUGCUGCUCAUGCUUGCUUCACCCUUCAUUUAGUGAAACAUUGUCAGGCCCAAUUUGUUGUAGUACAGAAAAUGUAUCUGUAGAUGCACAACUAAAACUAUAUUUUGAGGGACUGAUCAUGCGGUUUUUUACUCUGCUGAAAUAUUAGAAUGAGAUGUCCAGAAACAAAAAAAAAAGCCCAUUGAGAUAGCUAAAAUAGCAUAAGCAAUUUUACUUCUCUUUACCAAGCUUUUCUUGCUAUGGUCAUGUAGUGAAUUGAUGUAAACACGUGCAUAUUACGUUUAUCCUCAGGGAAAUAUUUGAUAUAAACAAAAAAAUUAUUUCCUUCAAGGACUGGUUCCUUUUCAGUGAUCAACACAAAAAUUGCAGGUAAGGAAUUGCUGGAUUCGAGCGCCAAGAGAUGCAUGGAGCAGUAUGCUGAAAUCUUUUCGCAAGUUGUCGCUGCUCAAAAAAUCAAAGCAAGGAAAAAAAAGACUGCCAUUCUACUGUAUUUGAAAGACUUGAUGGCAAGGAAGGGGGCGUCUCUUGCAUCACGGAGUCUCUGGUUCACAUUCUGUUCUUUCCCCAGCUCCUCCACAUGAUUCAGAUGUUCGCAUAAUGUGAUGCUUCUGCCCUCCCUCCAUUGCAAGGGAAAAAAUAUGCCGCUGCUUUGGCCCCGUUCCUCAUAAGUCAAAAAGGUCAAGCGCUACACAAGGGUGCAUAAAUAAGCACUGAUUAUCUCUAACAAGCAGGACAUCUCCACUCCUUCUGUGAAUUAUGAAGCCCCUUGCAGAAGUCUUUUGUUCCGUUGUAAUAACUAUAUCCAUAUUUUAGAUUUUUAUCCUAGACUAUGAAGUUGAUAGCUACUAUCUCAAUAAGUCUAAAACUCCUUGUAAAUAACUCUUAUAUUUCGUUGUGACAUAACCAGAAAAUUCUUAUUUGUCCUCUAUGGCAAUAUGAGUCUACUAAAUGUACAAAUUUUAUUAUUCAGAUCGAUAAAGUUGACAUGAGCGUGCGCAAAUUUA
Molecule: RNA transcript, 3116 nt
Organism: Panicum virgatum (switchgrass)
Lineage: Eukaryota; Viridiplantae; Streptophyta; Magnoliopsida; Poales; Poaceae
Exons: 7
Source: RefSeq, a predicted model, not a curated record